CCUACGGGUGGCAGCAGUGAGGAAUAUUGGUCAAUGGGCGAGAGCCUGAACCAGCCAAGUCGCGUGAGGGAGUACUGCCCUAUGGGUUGUAAACCUCUUUUGUCGGGGAGCAAAAGCCGGACGUGUCCGGCUGUGAGAGUACCCGAAGAAAAAGCAUCGGCAAACCCCGUGCCAGCAGCCGCGGUAAUACGGAGGAUGCGAGCGUUAACCGGAUUUAUGUGGUUUAAAGGGUGCGCAGGCGGAUUUUGAAGUCAGCGGGAAAAGCGUGGGGCUCAACCCCGUCCAGCCGUUGAAACUGGGGAUCUAGAGUGUGCGAGAGGUAUGCGGAAUGCGGGGUGUAGCGGUGAAAUGCAUAGAUAUCACGCAGAACGCCGAUUGCGAAGGCAGCAUACCGGUGGACAACUGACGCUGAGGCACGAAAGCGUGGGUAUCGAACAGGAUUAGAUACCCCGGUAGUC
RNAcentral lists this ribosomal RNA (458 nucleotides) under uncultured bacterium. RNAcentral describes it as "partial 16S ribosomal RNA". It matches the Rfam family "Bacterial small subunit ribosomal RNA", at positions 338 to 795 of the family's 1533-position model. The record is from RNAcentral.